RNAcentral lists this ribosomal RNA (198 nucleotides) under uncultured bacterium. Its description in RNAcentral is "partial 16S ribosomal RNA". It matches the Rfam family "Bacterial small subunit ribosomal RNA", at positions 328 to 539 of the family's 1533-position model. The record is from RNAcentral.
ACGCUCGACACCUACGGGGGGCAGCAGUGGGGAAUAUUGCACAAUGGGGGAAACCCUGAUGCAGCAACGCCGCGUGAAGGAAGACGGUUUUCGGAUUGUAAACUUCUGUUCUUAGUGAAAAUAGUGACGGUAGCUAAGGAGCAAGCCACGGCUAACUACGUGCUAGCAGCCGCGGUAAUCUGAGCGGGCUGGCAAGGC